Molecule: transfer RNA, 86 nt
Filed under: Clostridia bacterium
Lineage: Bacteria; Bacillati; Bacillota; Clostridia
Description: tRNA-Ser
Rfam family: tRNA
About the family: Transfer RNA (tRNA) molecules are approximately 80 nucleotides in length. Their secondary structure includes four short double-helical elements and three loops (D, anti-codon, and T loops).
Source: RNAcentral
GGAGAGGUAUCGAAGUGGUCAUAACGGGGCUGACUCGAAAUCAGUUUGCGCGAGAGCGCACAAGGGUUCGAAUCCCUUCCUCUCCG